UAACUCAAGUAAACUAUUGUCAAAGUAUACAAAAUAAAUUUUAAAAAAUCAUAAUACUGAGAAAAGAACCAAGAUACGUAAUGAUGACGUCACAAUUGCGCGCACUAAGGUCCGGAAACAGCUUGGCCUGAAGUACAUUCGGGAAAAUGACAAAAAUGUCGACCUAACAUUUUUUUGCCAAUCCCCAAUAAAACUCAAGAAGAAGAAAUGUUUGACACUUGACACAACAAGCGAGGACAAACACGACAACUGAGGCAGGAACAUCGCGUGGGGACCCACGACGAACCGCGCCAGUUUGAGCUGAAACCAAAAUCAUCCUGCUGGUCCGGUCAGAGGUCCGUGUUUUCAGUGAGAGCGCCCCCUGUCUGCAGAGCUCUCUGGACGUUCUGCCAGAAAACCUCUGGAUGUUGUGCAACCUGGGGCCAGCUCAGCUGGUCCGGUCAGCGGGUCCGUGUUUUCAGUGAGAGCGCCCCCUGCCUGCAGAGCUCUCUGGACGUUCUGCCAGAAAACUCCCGGAUGUUGUGCAGCCUGGGGCCAGCUCAGCAGGUCCGUGUUUUCAGCGAGAGCGCCCCCUGCCUGCAGAGCUCUCUGGACGUUCUGCCAGAAAACGCCCGGAUGUUGUGCAGCCUGAGGCCAGCUCAGGUAGGUGCGCUUCUUCACCAGCUUCCUCAUGCGGUAAUAUGGAGACAGAUGAUGAGCAGGAAUGUUUUCUAAAAACAGCAGGACCAAAACAUCCUUCUGCUCAUCAAACAGGCGAAAGCUGCAAGAAAUCAGACAAAAGAAAA
Molecule: long non-coding RNA, 785 nt
Organism: Poecilia latipinna (sailfin molly)
Lineage: Eukaryota; Metazoa; Chordata; Actinopteri; Cyprinodontiformes; Poeciliidae
Exons: 4
Source: RefSeq, a predicted model, not a curated record